Triticum aestivum (bread wheat) is the source of this 1215-nucleotide long non-coding RNA. RefSeq lists it as uncharacterized. The transcript has 3 exons. NCBI's taxonomy places the organism in Eukaryota, Viridiplantae, Streptophyta, Magnoliopsida, Poales, Poaceae. The record is from RefSeq and is a predicted model, not a curated record.
CUUCACCUAAGCUUCAGUAGCACUGUGCAUGGCCCUUUGAGUUCAUAUCUUCUAUUGGCGUCUGAAAACUAUCAUUUUUGGUCAGCUGAUAUCACUCUAUUCAUGCUAUCAAUUUUUCUUUCUCACUAUAUGGUAGUCCUUGACCUGUUUGUGUCAUCGGAGAAGGGAAUUUUCCUUUUUUUUCACUUUUAUCUUGUUUCCUUUUAAUAUAUUGGUUUUAGUUGUAUAUUACAGAAGGAUUGGACAUGGAGAUCUAAGAUGGAAGCGUUUGUGUAUAUACUGUACCUUUGUAUAUCUUUCCAAGUUCCAUCUUGCCUUAUCAUACAUUUUAAAAGAACAGUUGUUUUCUGAGUCAUUGGUGUACUUAUGUUGUGUUGUCACCAACCAUGAGUAUAUAACAGUUUGUUGGACAAAAGUAUUCUUGUGGUUUGUGCCAUGGUUGGGCACCAUCUUAAAUAUAAAAUGAUAACAUUGCAAACAUUUUUAUUUUGAAGGGCCAACAAGAAAGGAUUUCUUCCGGCAGCAUAACAAAGAACCCAUUGGGUGGAUGCAACACCCGAAUGCCUUUUUGACUAAAUCAUUUUAAUUAACUAAUUACAGUGGCGGAGCUAGAUGGGGAGGCAAAGGGCAAAUACAUCAAUUCUUGAGCAGUCCAAAAACUAUAAUUUGUUGAAUUAAGCACCCCCAAGAGUUCUUUAUUCACACAUUUUUUCAAGGUUGGGGGUUUAAUGGCAGAAGAUCAAGCACUCCGUCCUCUGCCAGGUCGCCGCCGCUGCUCGGGACGUAGACGCGCACAUGGGUCCGUCAGUCGCUGGCAAAGGAGGUCGAGUCCGUGCGGAGCACUGGUCUCCUCGCUGUCGUCGUCGUCCUCCCUGCUGCCAGCGACGCCCUCCUGUCUCCUCUGCACCAGUCUACUCCUUCAUAUUAUUUACAAAAGAAAAUGGUUUGGGGUGAAGAGUUGAAGGCUUGAAGCCAAAUGUUCCUAAUCAAGAAGAUGACCCGCACAACUCCCCUGAAACAAGGCCAGCACUAUGUGCCAAGAUUGAAGAUCCCAAAUAUGUUUACUUUGGUCCAAUAUCGUAUAGCAGUGUAAUGCUUCAGGCACUUUUUAUCAUUCAUUUUUAUUAUUCAAAUCUCUAUAUGGUUGCCAUAGAUGCUACUAUUACAUGGAUUUAUUACUAUUUUUCAUGUGUUGUUGAAAAUAGAACUCACUCA